RNAcentral lists this long non-coding RNA (3352 nucleotides) under Scophthalmus maximus (turbot). RNAcentral describes it as "lncRNA (ENSSMAG00000026523.1)". The record is from RNAcentral. Lineage: Eukaryota; Metazoa; Chordata; Actinopteri; Pleuronectiformes; Scophthalmidae.
GUUUCUCCCGGAUGAGUCCUUGGAUUGGUGGAUUUUAACUCCAGAUUAACCAGCAAAGCAUUUUCUGCUAUGGGAGUUUAACGAAAUACAAGUGGAAGAUGUACAGAGUCAACGAUCCAGCAGCUAUUAAGACGAAGAGGAGGAUUUCUAGACUUGGCUUUUUUAUUCGGGAGAACGAGAAGCCGCAAGGAUUUAAACUUCGGCAGCAUCAGUGCCAGGCGGGAUGCUUUCUCGGCACACGUGGAAAUCUAAACACUCAUGGAGACACUUUGAGGAUUAUAAAAAAAAAUGUGUCGCACAAGACAUUUCCCAGGUCAACGUCACAGGCGUAGCAGGAUGCUGCACUGCUGGUCCUCCUCGGGCCUCAGCUUGGGCCCCCUUCUUUGUAGUCCACAUUGCAAGAAGACCACCUCAUAGGGAUUUUCCCCUUCACCAGGUAACCACAAAGGAAGAAAAGAAGCACAUUAUCCACAUGUACAACAUACCCCCGAACACGCACGCACGCACGCACACACGCAAGCUCUCUUUGCCACACAAAGCUGACCACCAGCACAGCAGGAAACACACACGCAUGCACACACACACAGCAUAUUAUCUUUAUGAGGUGUUAUACACCAGUGACCACCAACACAGGGUCUCACUGUUCUCUAAUCCACACUCGAGCUGAAAAGAGUGCUCCAUGCAAUGGAGGGAUUACACCGUGGGAUUAAUAGGAGUUUUAAUUUGAGUCAUUGUAAGAGCCCUUGAUUGUAAGAAUAUGUGCAGGAAAGAAUACCACUUGCUCCUAUGUGAUAUUGUUAAAUGUGUUACAACCGCACAUUUCGGCCACUGCAUUUACUGCAAUGACACAAGCAAUCUGCAUGUGUGUGUCCAUUCAAUUUUUGUGUGACUGAUAAUGAGUAAGACCAUGAACUAUUAUCAUUAAAACUACCACAAUACAGCUACACUAUCUUGAAAUUAACUGUGCUUAAAAUGUUAAUAUUACUGUAAUGCUUGGAAAUGUACUGUCAUGUGAAGUCACUGCACUUUGCAGAAAACACAUUCUUGUUACCAACCAGUUUUUUUUAAUGCCUUUGAUUUUACCCUUAUAUUCUAAAUUAAAAGAAGAAUGAUUACCAUGUCAUUGUUUGGUAGCUUUUUUUUCUCCCAUCACAACGCUGCUUACAAUUAAUUAUGUUAUAUGUUGUACUUGCAGACAAAUCAUUAUUUUUCAAUUUGUGUUUUUUCUUUUUUUUCUCUUUUACUACUAAAACCUUAAACAUGCUCAAUGAAGAUGGCUCAAAGCUGAAAAUGUAAAUACAGAUGGAACAUGUAAAUAUACAAUAUCAAAACUGAUAUAGCUCUAUAUAUUUUUUUUCACAGGUGUAAAGAAGAUUUUUAACUCAUAUUAAUACGAUCAUAUAUCUGAUUUUACUUUUCCUUUCAAACACCAAAAAAUAAACGCAAAAGCUAUGAUGGAGAUUCAAGUCUAUAUUGCAGAUGGUCACUCAUAGCCUGGCGUGGCCAGACGAAUACUCAAAUGCGUGUUAGUCUGGGACCUCUCGGUCCAUUUUCGAUUUUUGCAAGAGGCGUUACCAACGGACGCAGAACAAAAUGCCUCCGGACACAAUUGGAUAGACCUGCAACCACGAGAACAACGGAUCAUGUCAAGUCUGUUGAGCGACGCAAAGUGUCAACAGACGAGAGCGUGCAGAGAGGAGAUGAUGUGAUGGUGAUUCCACAAUGUCUGUGAACAAGUGUUGCCGUUUUUGUGGGAGAAAUUUGAACAUAUCUGGUCAAAUGCCCGUUCAUCAGCGGCAGCCUUGGCCACUUCAAUGCGUGUCACGGUAUAAACCCCUCCCAUUAUCAGAUAAUCAGUUGUGAUUGGACCCGCGAGUUUUCUGCCGGAGGGAAAUCGCUUCCCAGUGGACGGGAAGCAGAACGAGUCUGGCAGAGCAAAUUAAAUGAGCUCUGGGUCCCAGGCUGAACGUUUCUAAUUCAAGUUAACAUAUGGCAGAGUAGCCCCUCAAAUACCCAAUAUCCAGUAUACGCACCAUGUUCAUUCCCGUGCCCUGUUACGAUCAUAUUACCGCUGCAAUAUUUUUUACAACCAUAAUCAUAGUUUUUUUUGUUGUUUUUUUUAGCAGUCGUCAAAAUGAAGUGUAGCAGGCAAGGAGCCAAAUGAAAACAAUGUGAUCUGCUAUAUGCAUUUACGGUAUGGGAAUAGUACAUGUGCACGCACACACACAAGUGACUGCUAUAUAAACAAGUGAGAAAGAGAGAAAGAAAGACAACGAGGCCAACAGACAGGCAGGAGAGAAAAAAACCCCAGCCUGGCCCAGAGAACAUUUGCAGCAGAGUGAAGAAAGCUUGAUGAAUAGAUGGAUGACUGGAUAGAAGGGGAGCUGCUUACCAUUCCUAAAGGCAACCAUAAAACCAUGGAUUUAAUCAUAAUCAAUUGUACACAAAGGCAGGCUUACAGAAUAACACUGUACUUUUUCCUUGAGUCAUUCUCUUCUUAUCUUAUUCUUCUCUUUCUUCAUCCUUACGCGAAGCCAAGAGCUGUUCUCAUUACAUCGGCUUCUUUGUGUUGGAAAGUGUAGCAGGAGCUGUGUGAGUACAAAAUCCAAAAGAAAACUGAGAAAACAAAAAUGUAAACAAUAGAAAGUGUGUUGAUUAAAUCAAGUUGGAACAAUCGCAUUUUGCACAAGGCCAGUGUGGUGCAUUAUGAUUCUAUCUCUCUGGGAAAGACAAUGCAACAAAGAAACACAAAAAUCUCAAAGGUCGUCCUUUUUUACUCAAUAAAACCUUAUUAAAAGUCGCCCUUCAAAACUGGAAUAGCAUAUUGAAACGGCUGGUUGGAAUUUUAAUCCAUCCCUUGCAUUGGACAUAAAAUUGAUAUCUCUGCAGAUGUCUGAAACCGCAGAGAAGGAUCUGAAUGCUGAUCAGUUUCCCCCUCUGUAUCCAAUGCGAAAGGUUGGGAAAUGAUUUGAAUUCCAUAAAUGACGGCACCUGUAUCAACCUUCCUUAAGUCUGCUUCACUCUGGUCUCAUUUUGUUGAAAUAGACAUGCGCUGUUCAGUCCUAUGCACAAGCUUACAUUCAAUCCCUGGAUGCUCGCUAAAUCUGUGCGCGGAACGUUUUAUGUAUCCAUACGAUUGUAUGUCAUCCACUUCACAAUGAAUUUCUUUCCUGGGGUUGUUUGCUCCUUAACAAGGCAAUCGUGCUGUUAUGACUCGACGAGAAUUAUUCGCGCAAAGUAGAUUACAGACAAAGUCGAUGCAAACACGCCACAAGAGCAGAAUUCGCUGACGUGAGGCGACGCAAAUGGCGUGAGUAGCGCGGUGAGGGCCGCAAACUGCGCAUCAGUCGCU